CUCAGAGUCUGAUGGUAAGAGCGUAAGAGCACUUCGUAGUCUGUGGCUAAGGGUUCGAUGUGUUUUAUUAGCGCCAAAAGCCCAAAAGUGAAAACUGAAAUAGAUUCUCUGGUUCAAUUGACUUAAGUAUGUGGCUUCCCAGAUCCAGGUCAGUCAAGUUAUGUGAGAACUCCAUUGACGGCACCUCUGUACAUGUGGCUGAUAAUGAAGCUUAAGCCUACCAGCAAAAGAGAAAUUUCCAGUUCAGUCGACUUAGAGAUGGUGCCCAGACUGUCCUCAAGUUCCGGUGUCCAAACUCAAUUGACGACAGCAUAUAGAUGGACUGAUGAAGGCUACCAGCAAAUGAGUAAGUCAGCCUUUUAUAUAUUAACUCUAUAGCAAUUAAGUGUUUUGUAAUAUUUUCUAAAAAUGAGGCUAGAGACUCAAAUCGUAAGUGAGUUAAGUGUUCCGGGUAAUAAAUUCGGUUAGAGAUUAACAUUUAAAAAAAAAACUCAGAAAUAGUCAAAUAGGUUA
Long non-coding RNA from Daphnia pulicaria, 513 nucleotides. RefSeq lists it as uncharacterized. NCBI's taxonomy places the organism in Eukaryota, Metazoa, Arthropoda, Branchiopoda, Diplostraca, Daphniidae. The transcript is spliced from 3 exons. The record is from RefSeq and is a predicted model, not a curated record.